RNAcentral lists this ribosomal RNA (253 nucleotides) under uncultured bacterium. RNAcentral's name for it is "partial 16S ribosomal RNA". It matches the Rfam family "Bacterial small subunit ribosomal RNA", at positions 524 to 776 of the family's 1533-position model. The record is from RNAcentral.
UACGGAGGGUGCAAGCGUUAAUCGGAAUUACUGGGCGUAAAGCGCACGCAGGCGGUUGGAUAAGUUAGAUGUGAAAGCCCCGGGCUCAACCUGGGAAUUGCAUUUAAAACUGUCCAGCUAGAGUCUUGUAGAGGGGGGUAGAAUUCCAGGUGUAGCGGUGAAAUGCGUAGAGAUCUGGAGGAAUACCGGUGGCGAAGGCGGCCCCCGGGACAAAGAAUGACGAUCAGGUGCGAAAGCGUGGGGAGCAAACAGG